UUAAACUGAAGAGUUUGAUCCUGGCUCAGAUUGAACGCUGGCGGCAUGCCUUACACAUGCAAGUCGAACGGCAGCACGGAGCUUGCUCUGGUGGCGAGUGGCGAACGGGUGAGUAAUAUAUCGGAACGUACCCUAGAGUGGGGGAUAACGUAGCGAAAGUUACGCUAAUACCGCAUACGAUCUAAGGAUGAAAGUGGGGGAUCGCAAGACCUCAUGCUCGUGGAGCGGCCGAUAUCUGAUUAGCUAGUUGGUAGGGUAAAAGCCUACCAAGG
This 272-nucleotide ribosomal RNA is filed under the name Janthinobacterium lividum. RNAcentral describes it as "partial 16S rRNA. Bacterial SSU". It matches the Rfam family "Bacterial small subunit ribosomal RNA", at positions 1 to 273 of the family's 1533-position model. Lineage: Bacteria; Pseudomonadati; Pseudomonadota; Betaproteobacteria; Burkholderiales; Oxalobacteraceae. The record is from RNAcentral.